Molecule: ribosomal RNA, 248 nt
Filed under: uncultured bacterium
Lineage: Bacteria
Description: partial 16S ribosomal RNA
Rfam family: Bacterial small subunit ribosomal RNA
Source: RNAcentral
AAGAUGGCGACCGGCGCACGGGUGAGUAACACGUAUCCAACCUGCCGAUAACUCGGGGAUAGCCUUUCGAAAGAAAGAUUAAUACCCGAUGGCAUAAUAGAACCGCAUGGUUUGAUUAUGAAAGAAUUUCGGUUAUCGAUGGGGAUGCGUUCCAUUAGGCAGUUGGUGGGGUAACGGCCCACCAAACCUUCGAUGGAUAGGGGUUCUGAGAGGAAGGUCCCCCACAUUGGAACUGAGACACGGUCCAA